AAUCACUUGGAAAUGUGAUUUUUUUUUUACAUUUUGGGGUUAUUUCUUCCUCGAUACUUCAAGUGUCCUUUUGUUCUUUCAUUUUUCUCUUUCAUGGGUGCCAUGUUCUUUGGAAGAUUAUUUAGACCAAGUCAGUGGCCUUUGAGGUGUCCUCCAAGCCAAUAGGAGUUUACAUUUGGAAUAAUGGCAAUUAUAAGUCACGGGCGGGGGCAAGCAUCAGGAUUUUAGAGAUGCUUAGGAGGGGCGUGGGCAACAAAAGGUUGGGAACCUCUGCUCUGGGUCUUUGGCCUUCAGCCCUCUGUCUUGUCCCGUGCCUGCUCAGCCAUGCCUGACACCAUGGCGCUCAGUCUCCUCGUGCACACAGCCCUCCACUGGGUCUCGCCUUGCACCCUUCUAGAAGCUCUCCUUCCUCUGCCAGCCAUGGGGUCUCUCCCAGAUAAUCUCCAGUCCCAGCUGGGCCUUGCUUCUGCUCUACGGCCCUCCACGUGCUCUGUGACCGCAUCGGUCCGCCCUAAAUUCCCCGUUGGUCACUCGUGUCUCCCUCAGCCUUUCUCCUCAAGAGGCCUCAGUUGCAGGAACAAAGCUUGGUGCUCCUCUCCCUACUCACUCCAGGUGAAUCCCGGGGUGCCACCCCCUAUCCUCCCAGGACAUUUCUUGGCUACAUCCAUUGGCUCGCUGUCUGCCUGGUCCAGGGUCCUCUGACCCCAUUCUGACAUUCUUGACUCUCAUGCCUCCAUCUCUACCACUCAGGAGCCCCUCUGCUCAUGCUUCACCUCUCUGCCCAGGUCUCCUCUCUGCCACUUCCACGCAGUGAUUCUCACCCGAGGGUGCAUGACCCCCCAAGGCGGCCUAUCAGCAACAUCUUUGGGUAUUCUUUUUUUUUAGAAUUUUUUUUUUUUUUGGAAUUCUUUUGGGGGUUA
Long non-coding RNA from Pipistrellus kuhlii (Kuhl's pipistrelle), 920 nucleotides. RefSeq lists it as uncharacterized. Lineage: Eukaryota; Metazoa; Chordata; Mammalia; Chiroptera; Vespertilionidae. The transcript has 3 exons. The record is from RefSeq and is a predicted model, not a curated record.